RNAcentral lists this unclassified non-coding RNA (441 nucleotides) under uncultured Thelephoraceae. RNAcentral describes it as "sequence contains ITS2". The stretch from base 1 to 154 matches the Rfam family "5.8S ribosomal RNA". Lineage: Eukaryota; Fungi; Basidiomycota; Agaricomycetes; Thelephorales; Thelephoraceae. The record is from RNAcentral.
AACUUUUGGCAAUGGAUCACUUGGCUCUCGCAUCGAUGAAGAACGCAGCGAAAUGCGAUAAGUAAUGUGAAUUGCCGAAUUCCGUGAAUCAUCGAAUCUUUGAACGCACCUUGCGCUCCUUGGUAUUCCGAGUAGCAUGCCUGUUUGAGUGUCAUGAAAUUCUCAACUGCCUUUUAGCAUUUAUGUUAGGAGUGUAGUUGGAGUUGGAGGAUAAUUGCUGGCGCAACUGAGGUUUCUUGUUGGCUCCUCUUGAAUGGAUGAGCUUUUCUGAUGUGAUCCAUAGCUUAGUAACACUAAUGUGAUAAUUAUCUACGUUAGAUGUGAAGAGGCUCCUACAGAAAAGGUGUAUCUUGGGGAUAACAAACCCUUGACUUUGACAAAUCUGACCUCAAAUCAGGUAGGACUACCCGCUGAACUUAAGCAUAUCAAUAAGCGGAGGCU